GGAAAGAGGAUUAAGGAUAUGAGAGUGGAUGUGGUGAAGAGGAAGAAGAGGAGGACGCUGAGGCUUGCAUCAUGACGGAGCUAUAAACUGAUAAAUGGUCGGGCAAAAUGUUAUAAUUUACAAUGUCUUACAAGAUAUGGCAAAGGUAAUGCAUAUGAAUAUUGUAUUACGAGUACCAAAAUAAGGAAAAUAUUAAGGGGAAAUGAUUAGUUAAAGAUAACAGAACACACGAAAAAUAAGUGAUUGCAAAAUAGAGAAAAUAUUAGAUAUGGAUAUAUGUGAAAGAUAAUGGGUGUAUUAAGACUGAAUUACGGGUACUGAGAAUAGGAAAAGAUGAAGGGGAAAUAAUAAGCAAAAGAUGAUAGAACUUACGAAAAAAUAAGUGAUUACAAAAUAGAGAAAAUGUAGUCAUGGAUAAAUAUGAAAGAUAACGAAUAUAUUAAAACUGAAUUACGAGUACUGAGAAUAGGAAAAGAUGAAGGGCAAAUAAUAAGAAAAAAAGAUAUAGAACACAAGAAAAACUAAAUCAUUGCAAAAUAGAGAAAAAAAGUUAAUGUAAUGGAUUAGUAUGAAAAUAAUUAGUGUAUUAGACGGAAUUACAAGCACCGAUAUAAGAUAAAGAAAAAGGGAUAAUGGGCAGUAGAGAAAAACGACAACACACGAAAAAAAUACGAGUUACUGCAAGAUAGUGAAGAAAGAUAAUGCGAUAUAGAUAGAAAGAUAAGGGAAAGGAAAGGUAAAAGUAUAUUACGAUGAACUGAGAGUGCCAAGUGAUCGCUGAGAAACGCUGGAAAAGUUUGCUGUAACGAUUUUUCUUACAGUAAUGGAGGCAGAUUAAGGACAAAAAAACGUACAGUGAGGGAGGCAGGUUAAGGACAAAACACGUACAGUAAAGGGAAGCAGCUCAAGGACAAAAAACGUACAGUGAGUGAGGCAGUUCAAGGACAAAACACGUACAGUAAAGGGAAGGAGCUCAAGGACAAAAAACGUACGGUAAGUGAGGCAGUUCAAGGACAAAAAACAACAACAACAACAACAAAAAAAAACCGUACAGUAUGAUACGUAGGCAUGUCAAGGUAAAAAAAAACGAAAACCUAACAACAUUUAAUCAACAACAACAACAAAAACAAGGAUAUAAAACAACCUGGUCUAUUUCUUAUUUGUUUAUUUUAUACAUAUCUCCUUAAUAUAACUCACACGGUAUAAAAACAUUGAUCAGGACGGUCAAACAUAAGCACAACAAAAAAUAAAACACCUACAGGUUACCGCUGGAUUUGCCUAUUGAUCUUGUACAUAUCUCCUUAAUAUAAAUCACACUAUAUGAAGACAAUUGUUAUCACAUUCAAGGUAAAAUGACAAAAAAAUAAAAUACAUACAGGUUUUCGCUGGAUUUGCCUAUUUGUUGAUCUUGUACAUAUCUCCUUAAUAUAAAUCACACUCUAUGAAGACAAUUGUUAUCAUAUUCAAGGUAAAAUGACAGAAAAAUAAAAUACAUACAGGUUUUCGCUGGAUUUGCCUAUUUGUUGAUCUUGUACAUAUCUCCUUAAUAUAAAUCACACUCUAUGAAGACAAUUGUUAUCAUAUUAAAGGUAAAAUGACGGAAAAAUAAAAUACAUACAGGUUUUCGCUGGAUUUGCCUAUUUGUUGAUCUUGUACAUAUCUCCUUAAUAUAAAUCACACUCUAUGAAGACAAUUGUUAUCAUAUCAAAGGUAAAAUGACAGAAAAAUAAAAUACAUACAAGUUUUCGCUGGAUUUGCCAUUUGUUGAUUUUGUAUAUACGUAUCUCCUUAAUAUAAACCACACGAUAUGAACACAAUAAUCAACACAGCAAAAUAAGAGUAAUUAACACAAAACUGAAAUACAUCCAGGUUUUAUUGCAACGUAUAUCACCGGCAUUAACUUUGAAGCAGACGGAUUGAUACAUUACGGCAUAAAAUGGAACACAGCAGCGCCAGCAUCAACAUUACUGACAACAGGUGCGGGGAGCGGGCGGCCUUACAGCGAACACCGGCUUUUUGCGCUUGUGGGAAUGGCUUGACUUUCUGUGUGAAUAGAGCGUAGAAAAGACCCGUGCUACUUUUACGGUAGAUGCAGGCUUAGUGUGUUAAUUUUUUUUUUUUUUUUUACAACAAAGGAGGCAGCUCAAGGGCACACAAAAAAAGAAAACAAUAAUAAAAAAAAAUCCCGCUCAUUAAAAACACCUUGAACAGUCUCAUUUAGCAAAACACCUGAUGAAAACUUGGAAAAUGCGGCUAAAUUGCACGAUUAUUAUUAUUAUUAUUAUUAUUAUUAUUAUUAUUAUUAUUAUUAUUAUUAUUAUUAUUAUUAUUAUUAUUAUUAUUAACAUUAUUAGUCGUAUUUUUCCUAUUAUUAGUAUUUUCAUAAUUACAUUGUUAAAAUCGUUGUUAUCAGUGGUGUUAAUAAUAAUAAUAAUAAUAAUAAUAAUAAUAAUAAUAAUAAUAAUAAUAAUAAUAAUAAUAAAAAUAUAAGUAAUGAUAUUGAGUUUACACGGUCUAUAAAGUCCCCAAUUAACAGUUUAUGAAGUAAAAAAAAAACUACCUUUUACAAAGUCACCAAUGGCCACUGUUUAAAGGUGCAAAAUGAAUGAUUAUACAAUUCCAGUUGACAUUUUUGAAGGUCCCAAAUUGACAGUUUAUGAAAACUCCAAUUAACAGUUUAUGGAGCCCCAGUUUACGGUUUAUAAAGUCAUAAAUCGAAGUAAUAUAAAGUGUCCGGCUGGCAGUUUAUGAUGUUUGGAAUUGACGGUUCAAAAGUACAGAAUUUGCUUCAUAAAGUUAAUGAUGGAGAGUUUAAAAAGUCCAGCAAUGGUUAUUUUAAAUUCUUCAAUAUACACUUUAUGAAUUUCCUUAUUUCUAAAGUUUGUAAGUACUAAAGUGACGGUUUAUAAAAGUAUACAAUGUUCUACGUUGUCAUUUUAUAAAGUUCAUAUCGACAGUUUAUAAGCUCCCUCAUUGACAGGAUAAAACUUCCACGAUUGACAGCUUAUAGUCUCACUAAGAAUUAAAAAGUCCGUGAACACAGUUUGUAAAGUGCAAAAUUAACUGAUGUGAUAGUUUAACUUAACAGUUUUUAAAGUCCCAAAUUGACAGUUUAUAAGGUCCCAUAUUGACAGUUUAUAAAGUCCCAAAUUGACAGUUUAUAAAGUCCCAAAUUGACAGUUUAUAAA
This is a long non-coding RNA of Eriocheir sinensis (Chinese mitten crab), 3188 nucleotides long. RefSeq lists it as uncharacterized. The transcript has 2 exons. The record is from RefSeq and is a predicted model, not a curated record. Lineage: Eukaryota; Metazoa; Arthropoda; Malacostraca; Decapoda; Varunidae.